RNAcentral lists this unclassified non-coding RNA (314 nucleotides) under Ascomycota sp. RNAcentral describes it as "partial contains small subunit ribosomal RNA, internal transcribed spacer 1, and 5.8S ribosomal RNA". The stretch from base 1 to 47 matches the Rfam family "Eukaryotic small subunit ribosomal RNA", at positions 1785 to 1831 of the family's 1831-position model. Lineage: Eukaryota; Fungi; Ascomycota. The record is from RNAcentral.
AAAGUCGUAACAAGGUUUCCGUAGGUGAACCUGCGGAAGGAUCAUUAAAGCGCCGCCGACGUCGACCCCAACCGCCUGGCUUGAGAUAUAGUCUAGGCGGUGCUGGAGGUCGCCGGCAGUUGCCCAUUCUUGCCUACUGACCCAGUUGCCUCGGUGUGCCGUUCCCUAGCGGACGGUCGGAAGCCAUAGGACCAGGUUGUCCCCGUGGCCCUGACCAGCGCACGCCGACGGACAGUCUAAAAUCUUUACAUAUCGGCCCUCUGAGCGUAUAAGCAAAUCAAUUAAAACUUUCAACAACGGAUCUCUUGGUUCCG